AGCAGCCGCGGUAAUUCCAGCUCCAAUAGCGUAUAUUAAAGUUGUUGCAGUUAAAAAGCUCGUAGUUGAAUUUCGGGGUUUUACCGUUGGUCGGGCUAUCCAGUCUGUACUGAUGUGUAAAAUUCCUACCUUCUGGGGAACCACCAUGUUAUUAAUUUAGCGUGGUGGGAAACCAGGACCUUUACCUUGAAAAAAUUAGAGUGUUCAAAGCAGGCUUACGUCUGAAUACAUUAGCAUGGAAUAAUAAAAUAGGACGGUGGUCCUGUUUUGUUGGUUUCUGAAUCACCGUAAUGAUUAAUAGGGAUAGUUGGGGGCAUUAGUAUUCAAUUGUCGGAGGUGAAAUUCUUGGAUUUAUUGAAGACUAACUUCUGCGAAAGCAUUUGCCAAGGAUGUUUUCAUUAAUCAAGAACGAAAGUUAGGGGAUCGAAGACGAUCAGAUACCGUCGUAGUCUUUAACCAUAAACUAUGCCGACUAGGGAUCGGACGAUGUUAAAUUUUAUUGACUCGUUCGGCGCCUUAC
This 520-nucleotide ribosomal RNA is filed under the name uncultured Scutellospora. Its description in RNAcentral is "SSU rRNA". It matches the Rfam family "Eukaryotic small subunit ribosomal RNA", at positions 569 to 1091 of the family's 1831-position model. The record is from RNAcentral. Lineage: Eukaryota; Fungi; Glomeromycota; Glomeromycetes; Diversisporales; Gigasporaceae.